Molecule: ribosomal RNA, 500 nt
Filed under: uncultured bacterium
Lineage: Bacteria
Description: bacterial SSU rRNA
Rfam family: Bacterial small subunit ribosomal RNA
Source: RNAcentral
CUGGCGGCGUGCUAACACAUGCAAGUCGAACGCGAAAGGGACUUCGGUCCUGAGUAAAGUGGCGCACGGGUGAGUAACGCGUAGAUAACCUGUCUUCAUGUCUGGAAUAAUACGCCAAAGGGGUACUAAUACCGGAUAUUCUUGCUUUUCAUAAGUUAUGCAAGCAAAGGUGGCCUCUGCAUAUGCUACUGCAUGAAGAGGGGUCUGCGUACCAUUAGCUAGUAGGUGGGGUAAUGGCCUACCUAGGCGACGAUGGUUAGCGGGUCUGAGAGGAUGAUCCGCCACACUGGCACUGGAACACGGGCCAGACUCCUACGGGAGGCAGCAGUGAGGAAUAUUGCGCAAUGGGGGAAACCCUGACGCAGCGACGCCGCGUGAGUGAGGAAGGCCUUCGGGUCGUAAAGCUCUGUCAAGAGGAAAGAAGUGUACAAUGGCUAAUACCUGUUGUAUUUGACGGUACCUCUAAAGGAAGCACCGGCUAACUCCGUGCCAGCCGCGGC